This 415-nucleotide ribosomal RNA is filed under the name uncultured microorganism. RNAcentral's name for it is "bacterial SSU rRNA". It matches the Rfam family "Bacterial small subunit ribosomal RNA", at positions 9 to 420 of the family's 1533-position model. The record is from RNAcentral.
GAGUUUGAUCGUGGCUCAGAUUGAACGCUGGCGGCAUGCCUUACACAUGCAAGUCGAACGGCAGCAUGAUCUAGCUUGCUGGAUUGAUGGCGAGUGGCGAACGGGUGAGUAAUACAUCGGAACGUGCCCUGUAGUGGGGGAUAACUAGUCGAAAGAUUAGCUAAUACCGCAUACGACCUGAGGGUGAAAGUGGGGGACCGCAAGGCCUCAUGCUAUAGGAGCGGCCGAUGUCUGAUUAGCUAGUUGGUGGGGUAAAGGCCCACCAAGGCGACGAUCAGUAGCUGGUCUGAGAGGACGAUCAGCCACACUGGGACUGAGACACGGCCCAGACUCCUACGGGAGGCAGCAGUGGGGAAUUUUGGACAAUGGGCGAAAGCCUGAUCCAGCAAUGCCGCGUGUGUGAAGAAGGCCUCGG